CCUACGGGAGGCAGCAGUGGGGAAUAUUGCACAAUGGGGGAAACCCUGAUGCAGCCAUGCCGCGUGUGUGAAGAAGGCCUUCGGGUUGUAAAGCACUUUCAGCGGUGAAGAUAAUGACGGUAACCGGAGAAGAAGCCCCGGCUAACUUCGUGCCAGUAGCCGCGGUAAUACGAAGGGGGCUAGCGUUGUUCGGAAUUACUGGGCGUAAAGCGCGCGUAGGCGGAUAGAUAAGUCAGAGGUGAAAUCCCGGGGCUCAACCCCGGAAUUGCCUUUGAUACUGUUUAUCUUGAGUGCAGAAGAGGUAAGUGGAAUUCCGAGUGUAGGGGUGAAAUUCGUAGAUAUUCGGAGGAACACCAGUGGCGAAGGCGGCUUACUGGUCUGCAACUGACGCUGAGGCGCGGAAGCGUGGGGAGCAAACAGGAUUAGAUACCCUCGUAGUC
This 440-nucleotide ribosomal RNA is filed under the name uncultured bacterium. RNAcentral's name for it is "bacterial SSU rRNA". It matches the Rfam family "Bacterial small subunit ribosomal RNA", at positions 338 to 795 of the family's 1533-position model. The record is from RNAcentral.